CGGGGUGUAGCUCAGCCUGGCUAGAGCGCUGCCUUUGGGAGGCAGAAGUCCCCAGUUCGAAUCUGGGCACCCCGA
Molecule: transfer RNA, 75 nt
Filed under: Actinomycetes bacterium
Lineage: Bacteria; Bacillati; Actinomycetota; Actinomycetes
Also listed under: 1 other name
Description: Actinobacteria bacterium tRNA-Pro
Rfam family: tRNA
About the family: Transfer RNA (tRNA) molecules are approximately 80 nucleotides in length. Their secondary structure includes four short double-helical elements and three loops (D, anti-codon, and T loops).
Source: RNAcentral